RNAcentral lists this transfer RNA (65 nucleotides) under Dipodomys ordii (Ord's kangaroo rat). It matches the Rfam family "tRNA". Rfam says of the family: Transfer RNA (tRNA) molecules are approximately 80 nucleotides in length. Their secondary structure includes four short double-helical elements and three loops (D, anti-codon, and T loops). Lineage: Eukaryota; Metazoa; Chordata; Mammalia; Rodentia; Heteromyidae. The record is from Rfam by way of RNAcentral.
GGUGGCUCAGUGGUAGGGCACUUGCCUUGCAUGCAUGAGGUCCUGGGUUCGAUUCCUCAGCACCA